AUGACCCUAUGUAUAGAGAAGAGAGAAUAAAUCUCAUCCCUAGAUUUUAAAAAAUCGUGCGGUUGAUAUAUAAUCUGCAGAAAAUUAGGAAUUUGCAAUUAAUCUGUUCGAAUUUAUUUUGUAAAUGGAAUGAGGGUAGUUGGGUAAAAUCCAAUAUAGUAAAUAAGGUAGUUCCGUUUUUUACUCCUAUCUACCGCAUCCAUUAGAAGAUUUGAACAGUCACCACCAUUCCACUUCGUCUCCCACGAUUCUCACGGAAGCUAGGGUUUCUCUGUAGCAGAUUUCGACGCCGCCAGGUAAUUAAGGUCUCGUUUCAAGUUUUUUUUUUUUCGCAUUCAGCCGGCGACUUGUUCAAAAAUACUGAGGGAAUUUUGAUUUUCGAACAUUGUUCUGUUUGUGGUUUAUUUUGCUGAAAUCGAACGGGUAUGUGUAAGGUUUUGCGAUUUUUUUUGGCUAUCCAUGAUAUGUUUUAGGGAUUUUUGGAUUUUAUGUUUUGAACCCUAAACCCUAAAGGUUUUGGAUUUUAUGUUUUGAACAAUUGAUUUUCGCUGAACCUUUUGUGAAAAGUUGAAGUCGUUCGCAUGAGAUGUUGGGCUCUGUUCUUUUUUCUGAUGUAAGUAUUAUGGUGACACAUUCGUUUAGUUGUGUGCGUCUGUUCUUUUUUCUGAUAUGGUCUGUUCGUUUAUUGAUAUAUGUUUAACUCUUUUUAAUUUGUCGAAGAUUGAUGUUAUCGGUGGAAUCAAGCAUAUGUUGGUGUCGUUUAUUUGUAUGAAUCUGUUCUUUUACUGUUGAUUUUGAUUUUGAUUUUCUGUUUCGAACAACUGAUUGUUGUUGACGAUGAAGAAAUUGUUGGGAAAUUUGAAAGUCUUUUGAGAUUAUGAGAUUUCAGAUAUUGGGAUUUCAGUUUUUGAAUAUGAUUUUCUGUUUCACUUGUUUUUGCAUACUGUGUUCGCCGAUUUGAAUCACGUUUGGUGGAUCUAAAUAAUCAAGGUAUUGUGUUUCGAAUUUUUUUUGGAUUUUCUAUCUCAUUUUUCAAAUAGGGUUUAUGAUUGUGGUUAUAUUGUUUAAUAUAUGCAUUUGUAUUGACUGGAUGAUGGAACUUUUUUAUGCUAAAUUUUGAACUAUUCUUGAACAGAUUUGGUCCACCUUGUUUAAUUAUCAGGUUGUUUUAUAGUUUUAGUGAAUUUGUGUGUUUGGCGUUAGUUUUUACAUGGAAAUCACUUCAAAAUCAUUGCCUCCACAGCCGGCGAUGUACCCCUCAAGGCCUGCAGGAAGAGGUGCAAGAAUAGGGCCUACGCGCUUGGAUGUGGCGUCUCGCCGCGGAGCAACCAGAGAUCAAGACGGAGGCUAGAUUAUGACGAGAGGGAGAUUGCUGCAGGAGACGAAAUAUUAGCCAAGUCGAUGUACCGAAUCCUCCUCCAAUGGCAGCAGCAAUCAGCCUCCGCAAAGGGGACACCCUAAAUUGCAAGCCUGCUAUUGAAAGUGAAGGUGCUGGAAACAACUAGGAGUAGUUAUAAGAAUAAUUUGUUCAUUGAAAAAAUAUGUGUUGUUCAUUUAAAAUUUGUGAUCUGUUUAUUUACAAAGUAUGUUCUGUUCAUUUAGAAAUUGUAAUUUGUUCAUUUACAAAUUGUGAUUCUCCGUUACCACACGUUCGAAAUAUUUAUCUGAGUGUUCAAUUUAUUCUUUAUAUUUGUUCAAAAUGUUUAUUGUAUUAUUUGAUAAACAUCUUAUUUUUUUC
Molecule: long non-coding RNA, 1738 nt
Filed under: Salvia miltiorrhiza (redroot sage)
Lineage: Eukaryota; Viridiplantae; Streptophyta; Magnoliopsida; Lamiales; Lamiaceae
Description: long non-coding RNA (SMIL_LNC007062)
Source: RNAcentral